RNAcentral lists this ribosomal RNA (813 nucleotides) under Lacticaseibacillus paracasei subsp. tolerans. RNAcentral describes it as "bacterial SSU rRNA". It matches the Rfam family "Bacterial small subunit ribosomal RNA", at positions 119 to 917 of the family's 1533-position model. The record is from RNAcentral. Lineage: Bacteria; Bacillati; Bacillota; Bacilli; Lactobacillales; Lactobacillaceae.
GGGUAACCUGCCCUUAAGUGGGGGAUAACAUUUGGAAACAGAUGCUAAUACCGCAUAGAUCCAAGAACCGCAUGGUUCUUGGCUGAAAGAUGGCGUAAGCUAUCGCUUUUGGAUGGACCCGCGGCGUAUUAGCUAGUUGGUGAGGUAAUGGCUCACCAAGGCGAUGAUACGUAGCCGAACUGAGAGGUUGAUCGGCCACAUUGGGACUGAGACACGGCCCAAACUCCUACGGGAGGCAGCAGUAGGGAAUCUUCCACAAUGGACGCAAGUCUGAUGGAGCAACGCCGCGUGAGUGAAGAAGGCUUUCGGGUCGUAAAACUCUGUUGUUGGAGAAGAAUGGUCGGCAGAGUAACUGUUGUCGGCGUGACGGUAUCCAACCAGAAAGCCACGGCUAACUACGUGCCAGCAGCCGCGGUAAUACGUAGGUGGCAAGCGUUAUCCGGAUUUAUUGGGCGUAAAGCGAGCGCAGGCGGUUUUUUAAGUCUGAUGUGAAAGCCCUCGGCUUAACCGAGGAAGCGCAUCGGAAACUGGGAAACUUGAGUGCAGAAGAGGACAGUGGAACUCCAUGUGUAGCGGUGAAAUGCGUAGAUAUAUGGAAGAACACCAGUGGCGAAGGCGGCUGUCUGGUCUGUAACUGACGCUGAGGCUCGAAAGCAUGGGUAGCGAACAGGAUUAGAUACCCUGGUAGUCCAUGCCGUAAACGAUGAAUGCUAGGUGUUGGAGGGUUUCCGCCCUUCAGUGCCGCAGCUAACGCAUUAAGCAUUCCGCCUGGGGAGUACGACCGCAAGGUUGAAACUCAAAGGAAUUGACGGG